Small nucleolar RNA from Jaculus jaculus (lesser Egyptian jerboa), 71 nucleotides. RefSeq annotates it as small nucleolar RNA SNORD81. Lineage: Eukaryota; Metazoa; Chordata; Mammalia; Rodentia; Dipodidae. The transcript has a single exon. The record is from RefSeq and is a predicted model, not a curated record.
CACACAGGAUGAUCACCCCACUUGACCUCUCUCACUGAUCACUUGAUAACAAUGAAAGAUCUGAUAGUCUG